Molecule: ribosomal RNA, 2720 nt
Filed under: Escherichia coli
Lineage: Bacteria; Pseudomonadati; Pseudomonadota; Gammaproteobacteria; Enterobacterales; Enterobacteriaceae
Description: bacterial LSU rRNA
Rfam family: Bacterial large subunit ribosomal RNA
Source: RNAcentral
CACACUAUCAUUAACUGAAUCCAUAGGUUAAUGAGGCGAACCGGGGGAACUGAAACAUCUAAGUACCCCGAGGAAAAGAAAUCAACCGAGAUUCCCCCAGUAGCGGCGAGCGAACGGGGAGCAGCCCAGAGCCUGAAUCAGUGUGUGUGUUAGUGGAAGCGUCUGGAAAGGCGCGCGAUACAGGGUGACAGCCCCGUACACAAAAAUGCACAUGCUGUGAGCUCGAUGAGUAGGGCGGGACACGUGGUAUCCUGUCUGAAUAUGGGGGGACCAUCCUCCAAGGCUAAAUACUCCUGACUGACCGAUAGUGAACCAGUACCGUGAGGGAAAGGCGAAAAGAACCCCGGCGAGGGGAGUGAAAAAGAACCUGAAACCGUGUACGUACAAGCAGUGGGAGCCUCUUUUAUGGGGUGACUGCGUACCUUUUGUAUAAUGGGUCAGCGACUUAUAUUCUGUAGCAAGGUUAACCGAAUAGGGGAGCCGAAGGGAAACCGAGUCUUAACUGGGCGUUAAGUUGCAGGGUAUAGACCCGAAACCCGGUGAUCUAGCCAUGGGCAGGUUGAAGGUUGGGUAACACUAACUGGAGGACCGAACCGACUAAUGUUGAAAAAUUAGCGGAUGACUUGUGGCUGGGGGUGAAAGGCCAAUCAAACCGGGAGAUAGCUGGUUCUCCCCGAAAGCUAUUUAGGUAGCGCCUCGUGAAUUCAUCUCCGGGGGUAGAGCACUGUUUCGGCAAGGGGGUCAUCCCGACUUACCAACCCGAUGCAAACUGCGAAUACCGGAGAAUGUUAUCACGGGAGACACACGGCGGGUGCUAACGUCCGUCGUGAAGAGGGAAACAACCCAGACCGCCAGCUAAGGUCCCAAAGUCAUGGUUAAGUGGGAAACGAUGUGGGAAGGCCCAGACAGCCAGGAUGUUGGCUUAGAAGCAGCCAUCAUUUAAAGAAAGCGUAAUAGCUCACUGGUCGAGUCGGCCUGCGCGGAAGAUGUAACGGGGCUAAACCAUGCACCGAAGCUGCGGCAGCGACGCUUAUGCGUUGUUGGGUAGGGGAGCGUUCUGUAAGCCUGUGAAGGUGUGCUGUGAGGCAUGCUGGAGGUAUCAGAAGUGCGAAUGCUGACAUAAGUAACGAUAAAGCGGGUGAAAAGCCCGCUCGCCGGAAGACCAAGGGUUCCUGUCCAACGUUAAUCGGGGCAGGGUGAGUCGACCCCUAAGGCGAGGCCGAAAGGCGUAGUCGAUGGGAAACAGGUUAAUAUUCCUGUACUUGGUGUUACUGCGAAGGGGGGACGGAGAAGGCUAUGUUGGCCGGGCGACGGUUGUCCCGGUUUAAGCGUGUAGGCUGGUUUUCCAGGCAAAUCCGGAAAAUCAAGGCUGAGGCGUGAUGACGAGGCACUACGGUGCUGAAGCAACAAAUGCCCUGCUUCCAGGAAAAGCCUCUAAGCAUCAGGUAACAUCAAAUCGUACCCCAAACCGACACAGGUGGUCAGGUAGAGAAUACCAAGGCGCUUGAGAGAACUCGGGUGAAGGAACUAGGCAAAAUGGUGCCGUAACUUCGGGAGAAGGCACGCUGAUAUGUAGGUGAAGUCCCUUGCGGAUGGAGCUGAAAUCAGUCGAAGAUACCAGCUGGCUGCAACUGUUUAUUAAAAACACAGCACUGUGCAAACACGAAAGUGGACGUAUACGGUGUGACGCCUGCCCGGUGCCGGAAGGUUAAUUGAUGGGGUCAGCGCAAGCGAAGCUCUUGAUCGAAGCCCCGGUAAACGGCGGCCGUAACUAUAACGGUCCUAAGGUAGCGAAAUUCCUUGUCGGGUAAGUUCCGACCUGCACGAAUGGCGUAAUGAUGGCCAGGCUGUCUCCACCCGAGACUCAGUGAAAUUGAACUCGCUGUGAAGAUGCAGUGUACCCGCGGCAAGACGGAAAGACCCCGUGAACCUUUACUAUAGCUUGACACUGAACAUUGAGCCUUGAUGUGUAGGAUAGGUGGGAGGCUUUGAAGUGUGGACGCCAGUCUGCAUGGAGCCGACCUUGAAAUACCACCCUUUAAUGUUUGAUGUUCUAACGUUGACCCGUAAUCCGGGUUGCGGACAGUGUCUGGUGGGUAGUUUGACUGGGGCGGUCUCCUCCUAAAGAGUAACGGAGGAGCACGAAGGUUGGCUAAUCCUGGUCGGACAUCAGGAGGUUAGUGCAAUGGCAUAAGCCAGCUUGACUGCGAGCGUGACGGCGCGAGCAGGUGCGAAAGCAGGUCAUAGUGAUCCGGUGGUUCUGAAUGGAAGGGCCAUCGCUCAACGGAUAAAAGGUACUCCGGGGAUAACAGGCUGAUACCGCCCAAGAGUUCAUAUCGACGGCGGUGUUUGGCACCUCGAUGUCGGCUCAUCACAUCCUGGGGCUGAAGUAGGUCCCAAGGGUAUGGCUGUUCGCCAUUUAAAGUGGUACGCGAGCUGGGUUUAGAACGUCGUGAGACAGUUCGGUCCCUAUCUGCCGUGGGCGCUGGAGAACUGAGGGGGGCUGCUCCUAGUACGAGAGGACCGGAGUGGACGCAUCACUGGUGUUCGGGUUGUCAUGCCAAUGGCACUGCCCGGUAGCUAAAUGCGGAAGAGAUAAGUGCUGAAAGCAUCUAAGCACGAAACUUGCCCCGAGAUGAGUUCUCCCUGACCCUUUAAGGGUCCUGAAGGAACGUUGAAGACGACGACGUUGAUAGGCCGGGUGUGUAAGCGCAGCGAUG